UGGGGAAUAUUGGGCAAUGGGCGCAAGCCUGACCCAGCAAUGCCGCGUGAAGGAAGAAGGCCCUCGGGUUGUAAACUUCUUUUAUCAGGGACGAAGGAAGUGACGGUACCUGAUGAAUAAGCUCCGGCUAACUACGUGCCAGCAGCCGCGGUAAUACGUAGGGAGCAAGCGUUAUCCGGAUUUACUGGGUGUAAAGGGCGCGUAGGCGGGAUGGCAAGUCAGAUGUGAAAUCCAAGGGCUCAACCCUUGAACUGCAUUUGAAACUGUCGUUCUUGAGUACUGGAGAGGUUGACGGAAUUCCUAGUGUAGCGGUGAAAUGCGUAGAUAUUAGGAGGAACACCAGUGGCGAAGGCGGUCAACUGGACAGCAACUGACGCUGAGGCGCGAAAGCGUGGGGAGCAAACAGGAUUAGAUACC
RNAcentral lists this ribosomal RNA (417 nucleotides) under uncultured bacterium. RNAcentral describes it as "bacterial SSU rRNA". It matches the Rfam family "Bacterial small subunit ribosomal RNA", at positions 355 to 786 of the family's 1533-position model. The record is from RNAcentral.